This 46-nucleotide transfer RNA is filed under the name Scapania ferruginea. RNAcentral describes it as "partial tRNA-Phe". It matches the Rfam family "tRNA", at positions 1 to 44 of the family's 71-position model. Rfam says of the family: Transfer RNA (tRNA) molecules are approximately 80 nucleotides in length. Their secondary structure includes four short double-helical elements and three loops (D, anti-codon, and T loops). The record is from RNAcentral. Lineage: Eukaryota; Viridiplantae; Streptophyta; Jungermanniopsida; Jungermanniales; Scapaniaceae.
UGCCGGGAUAGCUCAGUUGGUAGAGCAGAGGACUGAAAAUCCUCGU